GCCGGAGUGGUGGAAUUGGUAGACACGUCAGCCUUAGGAGCUGAUGCCGCAAGGCGUGGAGGUUCAAGUCCUCUCUCCGGUACAA
RNAcentral lists this transfer RNA (85 nucleotides) under Parcubacteria group bacterium. RNAcentral describes it as "tRNA-Leu". It matches the Rfam family "tRNA". Rfam says of the family: Transfer RNA (tRNA) molecules are approximately 80 nucleotides in length. The record is from RNAcentral.